GUAAAGGGUCGCUAUCGUGCGCGUCGAGCGGAGACGAGUGAACUGACCCUUCGGGUGACGUUAACGGCGUCGAGCGGGGGACGGGUGAGUAAUGCCUGGGAAAUUGCCCUGAUGUGGGGGAUAACCAUUGGAAACGAUGGCUAAUACCGCAUAAUAGCUUCGGCUCAAAGAGGGGGACCUUCGGGCCUCUCGCGUCAGGAUAUGCCCAGGUGGGAUUAGCUAGUUGGUGAGGUAAGGGCUCACCAAGGCGACGAUCCCUAGCUGGUCUGAGAGGAUGAUCAGCCACACUGGAACUGAGACACGGUCCAGACUCCUACGGGAGGCAGCAGUGGGGAAUAUUGCACAAUGGGCGCAAGCCUGAUGCAGCCAUGCCGCGUGUAUGAAGAAGGCCUUCGGGUUGUAAAGUACUUUCAGCAGUGAGGAAGGUGGGUAUGUUAAUAGCAUACUCAUUUGACGUUAGCUGCAGAAGAAGCACCGGCUAACUCCGUGCCAGCAGCCGCGGUAAUACGGAGGGUGCGAGCGUUAAUCGGAAUUACUGGGCGUAAAGCGCAUGCAGGUGGAUGAUUAAGUCAGAUGUGAAAGCCCGGGGCUCAACCUCGGAAUAGCAUUUGAAACUGGUCAUCUAGAGUACUGUAGAGGGGGGUAGAAUUUCAGGUGUAGCGGUGAAAUGCGUAGAGAUCUGAAGGAAUACCGGUGGCGAAGGCGGCCCCCUGGACAGAUACUGACACUCAGAUGCGAAAGCGUGGGGAGCAAACAGGAUUAGAUACCCUGGUAGUCCACGCCGUAAACGAUGUCUACUUGGAGGUUGUGGCCUUGAGCCGUGGCUUUCGGAGCUAACGCGUUAAGUAGACCGCCUGGGGAGUACGGUCGCAAGAUUAAAACUCAAAUGAAUUGACGGGGGCCCGCACAAGCGGUGGAGCAUGUGGUUUAAUUCGAUGCAACGCGAAGAACCUUACCUACUCUUGACAUCCAGAGAACUUGUCAGAGAUGGAUUGGUGCCUUCGGGACUCUGAGACAGGUGCUGCAUGGCUGUCGUCAGCUCGUGUUGUGAAAUGUUGGGUUAAGUCCCGCAACGAGCGCAACCCUUUUCCUGUUUGCCAGCACUUCGG
RNAcentral lists this ribosomal RNA (1109 nucleotides) under Vibrio sp. D6035. RNAcentral describes it as "bacterial SSU rRNA". It matches the Rfam family "Bacterial small subunit ribosomal RNA", at positions 39 to 1129 of the family's 1533-position model. Lineage: Bacteria; Pseudomonadati; Pseudomonadota; Gammaproteobacteria; Vibrionales; Vibrionaceae. The record is from RNAcentral.